Small nuclear RNA from Phacochoerus africanus (Common warthog), 104 nucleotides. The record is from RefSeq and is a predicted model, not a curated record. Lineage: Eukaryota; Metazoa; Chordata; Mammalia; Artiodactyla; Suidae.
GUGUUUGCUUUGGCAGCACAGAUACUAAAAUUGGAACAGUGCAGAGAUUAGCAUGGCCCCUGCACAAGGAUGACACACAAAUUCAUGAAUGGUUCCAUAGUGUU